UACGGAGGGUGCAAACGUUGCUCGGAAUCAUUGGGCGUAAAGCGCACGUAGGCGGCCUGAUAAGUCGGGUGUGAAAGCCCUGGGCUCAACCCAGGAAGUGCACUCGAAACUGUCAGGCUUGAAUAUGGAAGAGGGUCGCGGAAUUCCCGGUGUAGAGGUGAAAUUCGUAGAUAUUGGGAAGAACACCGGUGGCGAAGGCGGCUCUCUGGACCGAUACUGACGCUGAGGCGCGAAAGCGUGGGGAGCAAACAGG
Molecule: ribosomal RNA, 253 nt
Filed under: uncultured bacterium
Lineage: Bacteria
Description: partial 16S ribosomal RNA
Rfam family: Bacterial small subunit ribosomal RNA
Source: RNAcentral